AUACGUAGGGGGCGAGCGUUGUCCGGAAUGAUUGGGCGUAAAGGGCGCGUAGGCGGCCCGGUAAGUCUGGAGUGAAAGUCCUGUUUUUAAGAUGGGAAUUGCUUUGGAUACUGUCGGGCUUGAGUGCAGGAGAGGUAAUUGGAAUUCCCAGUGUAGCGGUGAAAUGCGUAGAGAUUGGGAGGAACACCAGUGGCGAAGGCGACUUACUGGACUGUAACUGACGCUGAGGCGCGAAAGUGUGGGGAGCAAACAGGAUUAGAUACCCUGGUAGUCCACACUGUAAACGAUGAAUGCUAGGUGUAGGGGGUAUCGACCCCUUCUGUGCCGCAGUCAACACAAUAAGCAUUCCGCCUGGGGAGUACGGCCGCAAGGUUGAAACUUAAAGGAAUUGACGGGG
Molecule: ribosomal RNA, 397 nt
Filed under: uncultured bacterium
Lineage: Bacteria
Description: partial 16S ribosomal RNA
Rfam family: Bacterial small subunit ribosomal RNA
Source: RNAcentral